Bufo gargarizans (Asiatic toad) is the source of this 571-nucleotide long non-coding RNA. RefSeq lists it as uncharacterized. Lineage: Eukaryota; Metazoa; Chordata; Amphibia; Anura; Bufonidae. The transcript is spliced from 4 exons. The record is from RefSeq and is a predicted model, not a curated record.
UCUGAUACCAGAUACAGUCUCUUAUUAUGUUGAGAUUUUCCCAUACUCCUCUACCUGGGACUUCACAUACUUGGUCUUUAUGUAUCACUUUGCCAAUUACUUUUUUAAUACGGUUCACAAGCAACUUGGCCAUAACUUUGUAAUCCGUAUUUAGGAGUGUGAUUGGUCUCCAAUUUUCUAAUUGCGAUUUGUCGCCUUUUUUGUAUAGUAAUGUCACGAUACCUUUCCUCCAAGAUUCUGGCAACACUUCUGUAUUUAAAGCUUCGAUUUCUCAGCUUCAGGGCACAAUUAAAGUCUCUGGCCAUGAUCACUGGUGAUUGACCAGCUAAGAAAGGUUGUAUGUCCUCUAGCAUCUCAGCUCUUUCAUGAAGUUCAGGUCCAUGGCUUCAUCUCUUGCGAUCGUCCCCUUCACUCCUGUGUCAGUAGCAGGUUCCCCUACCACCUUUGCAGGAGCAGAUUUUCCAGGAGCACUCUUCAUAGGAUCCACUAUUUUCUCCUUCAUCAGCACUCUGGAUGUUCCAAAGAUGGGAGAUGGCAGAAAAAUCAUCAUGGCGGUCUGGUCUGAAUGGAG